Serinus canaria (Common canary) is the source of this 1558-nucleotide long non-coding RNA. RefSeq lists it as uncharacterized. The record is from RefSeq and is a predicted model, not a curated record. NCBI's taxonomy places the organism in Eukaryota, Metazoa, Chordata, Aves, Passeriformes, Fringillidae. The transcript has 5 exons.
UCUGCUUUGUAGUCAUUCUGCUUCCAGUACCCCUAAAGUCUCUCACACAUCUAUAAAAUAGUUCAGAGUUUAGAAGCUGUUGCUCCCUGUAACCAACUUUUGUGUGUGCAGGGAGCAAAGUGGCCAUGCAGCUCCAUCACUCAAAUGCCUUCUCUGAACACCUGUUUGCCCUAUAGGGAGGCAUUUGGUUUGUGCUUCUCUGUGACAGAGGAGAUUCUUUGCUUACUUUUUUUGUUUCUGCAAGGACUAGACCCAAACUAAAUCUUACCAAAGCUGACUCUUGCUAUUUUGUCUUAAAGUGCCUUUCCAGGAGCAACUUCAUUAUCUAGGCAUGGUUAUGUACAGCUCAUGGCACCAUAACAACACCUCUCAGUGUAAAGGGGGAGAGCUUUCCCUUCUGGGCACAGAUGGAGUCAAGAGACUGAAUGAACCAUCCACAUCUUGCUGCAUUGUCUUCCGUGCUCUGUCAGCCUCUACAUCAGAAAAGCCAGAAGAAAAUGUGGUGAAAUGCAGACCCUCCGUGUGCCACAGACUGCUGGGAAUGACAGGACACAUUCUUCCAGGGCUGCCUAAUGACUGCUCCAGAAGAAAAACAGGAAGAAGCAUAAUUUUUCCAAACAUGACAUCUUGUUGAACAACAGAUGGGACCAGAGAAGCUCUAUCCUACUUGAAUACAGGGUAAUUUGAGUCUACAUAGAGAAAUUAUGUCACUCUAGUACUUCUGAGUUACAAAUUUGGAAUACUCUGGUUUGGAGAGAUACUUGAAUCUUAAUGCAAAAGAGUGAUGUAAUGAAGCAGACUUCCAUGUGCACACACUAAAGCCUGGCUAGAUGCAUGUGUGCUUGCGAUUAGGAGCUGCCAGUCCUGACCUCUGCCUUCCCUGAUGGAUCAGGAUCCAUUGCUCCCUACCGCAGAGGGCCAGCAGAAGACCUCCGUGCAAUGAAGGGUUGUCUUGGACAUUAAUCCAUGGAAGAGCAACAAACCAAGAACUAUUUUUUUUGAUGGCCAGCCUGGAAAUCCCUGCAUCACUGAAGAAGUAGUAACGAUUGUCUUCUGGGUGGAUAGACAUGGAUUUUUCACAUUGGUUUUCCCAAAAGAUUUCUUUUCAACAAAAUUAUUAUUCUCCUCCUGAAAAUGCCUGUUCUGUGAUAUGGAUAUUUUAUACAUAAUAAUCAUUCCAGGAAAAAUUCCUACCCAGCAAGUCUAUUCAAUGCCUUACUUUUUUUCCUUCUUUGAGUUUUGUUUUCCAAAUGUAAAUAUUAACAGUAAUUUCUAAGGCUCCCAAGGAGAUUCCCAAGUUUAAUAAAGCCUGUGUUGUGAGUCUUUGCAGUAAUACAUUUCUGCUUGUUUGAAAAUAUAGUGCAAAACAACUGAGGGCCAAGGAAUGCAUUGACACAAAUUGGGGAUUUCUGCAAUACCUGUGUGGGUGUUUAAGGGGGAGAACACAGCUAACAUGGUUAGUACAUAUGCAUAAUAUCUAGUUUGUUUUCCUCUCUAUUUUCUCUCUGCUACUCUAUCUUUCUCUGUCUCCUAAUAUUUUGUCAGUGUUUUGUUUAUU